GACAGAGGUGCCAAGCGUUAGGCGGAAUCACUGGGCUUAAAGCGUGUGUAGGCGGCUCGUUAAGUACCUUGUGAAAUCCCACGGCUUAACCGUGGAACUGCUCGGUAUACUGGCGGUCUUGAGCAACCUAGGGGCGAGCGGAACAAAUGGUGGAGCGGUGAAAUGCGUAGAUAUCAUUUGGAACGCCAAUGGUGAAAACAGCUCGCUGGGGGUUUGCUGACGCUGAGACACGAAAGCCAGGGGAGCAAACGGG
This 253-nucleotide ribosomal RNA is filed under the name uncultured bacterium. RNAcentral describes it as "partial 16S ribosomal RNA". It matches the Rfam family "Bacterial small subunit ribosomal RNA", at positions 524 to 776 of the family's 1533-position model. The record is from RNAcentral.